UUUUUAUGCUUAAGAAAUACUUUAUUAGCUGGCAUAGCUCUGAUAAAAUCAGGAAUCUGAGAAAUAUCUGACAGGAUUUGAUAUUUAUAAAUUAAAUUUCUCUUCAUUCAGUUGCUUCUGAGUAGUAAGGUCUAUGAUUUCCAAGUGCCAAAUGGUAAUUCAGUAUAAAAAUAUACAUACCAUGGAAACGUUCGUGGGAAUUUACGAGCUUGUUUUAUGGCUUUUGGCCAAUCCUGGUGGGAAGUCUACAGAAGAAUUCAAUUCUGCUUUUUCCCAGAAUACUUGUUGACAAACUCAGUGGCACUGAAGUGUUACAUGAGUCUUUAUGUCCCCCAGAGUCCAGUGAUAAGGGCACUUGAGACCAGCAAGGGUCAGUGCUUCUGGGAAUAUGAUGUUGGUUCUCAGAAUUUACAUAUUUUUCUCAUGAACUUUUAACAAUUUUUAUAACAAACUCAACAACUCUGAUUG
RNAcentral lists this long non-coding RNA (468 nucleotides) under Bos taurus (domestic cattle). RNAcentral describes it as "long non-coding RNA NONBTAT021782". The record is from RNAcentral. Lineage: Eukaryota; Metazoa; Chordata; Mammalia; Artiodactyla; Bovidae.